Long non-coding RNA from Pogona vitticeps (central bearded dragon), 5082 nucleotides. The record is from Ensembl. NCBI's taxonomy places the organism in Eukaryota, Metazoa, Chordata, Lepidosauria, Squamata, Agamidae.
AUGGGUCCACCCACCAGCACGCCUGAGGCCCGUCGGGGCUGCCUGCGUCUUGAGGCCACCGCUUUGGCUUCACCGCUAACCUCGGCGGCUUCAGCAUUCCUUCCGGUUACGCCUUCACUGGCCACAAGGUCUGAUGGAAACUCCGUGGCUCCUGGAGUCGACAGCUGGAACAGAGCCACAGCAGGAUCCUUUCCUCCGUUGGGAGGUGCGGAGAGCCCUGCCACCUCUCUGCUUCUGCGUUCCACUUCACCUGACUACCCAGUCCUCGGUGAAGAGUCACCUGUUGCCCCCGAGCCUUGUCCCCAAAGAAGAACCCUUGAGAAGCCACACUUCCCUUUGCUCCAGGAAAGUCCACCAUCCGGUGAUUCAGAGUCUCCAGAGGGUGACGGCGAGCCAGAGACAGGAGGAGAUCCAGGGUCCAGUGAGCCGUUUCCUCCUGAGGAUAGCAAGAGCGGUCCUGGAGUAACUGGUCCUGCCGACCUGCGCCCGCCAUUGCCUUCCCCUGCUUGCCUGAAGGAAUCGGCAGCAGCUGACUGUGAGGAAGGGUUUUGGAUUGGAAGGCCGAACGAUCCCGCUGGGCUUCCGAAAGGCUUGCCGCAGGCCACAUACUUCCUCCCUUCGAAGAGCAGAGACGAACCUGGUCCUGCGUCCACUCCUCCUGGCCAAGAAGAACUUGUUCCUGAUUCCUCUGGCCAAGAGGAAAAAAUCAGAGAGAUGAAUUUCUCCCGGAGCCCGGAAGAAACCGCUCAGCUUGAGCCUCCUGUUGAGAAACACAGCGUGCUUGAGAGGCAGGUAGUGGAAGAGGAGGGAGAAGCCAUGGGGGGUGAUGAGGGGACACCCGUGUGGAGGAUGGAAGGAGAGAGCCCUGGGGAAGAGCAAGCACGGAGCGUUAUGGAGCAGGCAGUGCCUGGAGCAGACGUGGCCGCCAGUGCAGCACACAGGGUCCCAGAGGAAAUAAGGACCUCCCUCUCAGGAAUAUCGGGAAGUGCGCAGAACAACGGAUCAGACAGAAUGGCUGGGGACUGUCCUUCCCUCAAAGAGCCAGAGAGCCCGUCUUUACCCGGCUCGGUGAGGUGGGCCAGAUCGGAUCCUGAACGAGCCCGUGACGCUUCACCACGAAAGAGCCGGUCUUGGGGGACUCCAAAGGCCAGCGAUGACUGUGCUAUGAACUCACAAGAUAGUGCCUCUGAUGGUGAAAAGGACAUGGAAACCCAGCCUUGUGGAGAUACCAACCUGUUAGCUGUGGGUUGCCACACUGGCACAAGAGACACAGACCGCCCCGAGUUAGAGACGGGCUCUGUGAAUCGAGAGGCUGCGGGGGUCGGCCUUUUAGAAGCCCCUUGCGCAGAAACGGGGGCUCAGUCUCUCCGUGGAAAGGAAAGGGGGCUGGAUGGCGUGACUUCAGAGUGUGCAGAAGGAAAGGACACAAGUACAAAGCUAGAUGGCUUUGGUUAUGACGGGUUAAGCACCCGUGUGGUGUUACCUGGUCUUCCGCCAGUGGCUUUGCCAGCUGAGGAGCCUUCCAAGGAGGAGUUUGACAAAGAAGGAGAAGCGGAAUCUGCUACAGCUAGGCAGGAAAGCAUGUCUUCGGGAGAUCUCUCAGAGCCUUCUGGCCAGGAGAGCGUUCUUCCUGCUGCUUCAAACCCCCUGGCUGUGCCUGUUCUGCAGAAAGGGGCAAUUCCCGAACAGCCCCUUGCGGCUGCGGUGCUUGAACGCCUUGAGGUAGUUCCGGGCGAAGGGUGCUUCUGUGGAAGCCUGUCCUGCAACAGCGAGAUUCCCGCUGAAGAAAAGGGGGAGGAGACGGCCAAAGUUGAGAGAAGAUCAGAGUGUUUAGGCCCCAAAUGGGACGGAAAGGACAAAGACCAAGACAGCGAUGUUGCUGGUUCUGUGCCGGAGGUCGACGUCCGUGAGGAUGGCGGUCAUUCCCCGUUAGCGGCUGGAUCCCCCGAAGGUCAGCCCAGCUGUGAAAGUGGCAGUGAGGAGGAAAUGGAGACCGAAUACCUACAGGGAGAAGAGAACUCGGAGGAAGAGGCAGAAGAAGCCGGCACUGCAGGAGCUGCUGGCCCCCAGCAACAAGCCGCUGGAAGGGACAGCUGGCCGAGGGGCCUGCGGGAGGGCCCUCUCUGUGCCCCUGCCAAAGACCCCCCCACAAGAUGCCGUCAAGAGGAGGCCGCCGGGCCCUUGGCAGGCACAGCAGGCCGGCCGGCCGGGCAACGUUCUCCUUUCCGAGGGCUUGCAGAUGACUUUGGGGAGGGAGGCAUCCCCCGCUCCAGCCAUUCUCCUUCCACCGAGGCACGGUGCCCUUUGCAGACAAGCAAGGAGGAAGCUGGUGGGAAACGGGGACCUGAAAAUGGCAGUCUUUUGGCGCGCCCAGUGGGCACCGAGGAGGAAGGAGAGAGGCAGGAUGGAGAAGGACUGCCUGCGGUGGCCGGAGGUGGCGGUGCAGGGGAUGCAGAGGCCUCCUCGGGUCACGCAGAGGGCGGUGGUGAGGGAAACCCUUCCCAGAUGGGGCUAUGGGAUGAUUUCCAUGCGCCUCAUGGAUCUCCUUCCAGCAACUCUACCCACCUGAAAUGCUGUCCGGAGCCCCCCUUGCCUGUUGACCAACUGGAAGCAGAACCUGACAGGCCUGAGCCUGAAGCCCCAGAAGGUCGCUUGGGGAUGAAUCCCCAGGGAGUCGAGGUUGGGAAGCCAGUGCUUUGCCCCAAGGCCUCUCUCAUGGAAGGCAGUGCUCCCGAGGAAGCCCAUGAACCAGACGUGGUGGUUGACCGUUUCGCCUCUCCCGGACCGGAACGUGCUUGUCAAGAUACAACCUUCCAGGAAGAAGACGUGGGAUUCGGGCGAACUCCUGAAGGACCCCAGUGGGAGGAGGAAAAGGUCAGCCUCCGAGAAGGCGCUCCGAGGGCUGCCUCUGAGAAGGCUGGAGCUGCGGAAGAAAGUGGGGUAGGAAACCUUCUGAGGGAGCCCCAGGUGGACUCUGCUGAGGUCCCAGAGUCCUGUGGCCAUGGCAAACGCAACGCGCAUGUCCCUGACUCUGGAACGGAUGAGGAAGAUUCCACUGGCAGAGAGAGCGUCCAAGGUGCUCAAGCUCCAGGCGGAUGGCGGCAUGAUUGGGGGGUGGCUGAGAACAGCAACGUGUGGGGCGACGUAAGUGAGGGAUCCACCGUCCAAGCUCCGUGCACUGCAGCCGUCCAGGGAAGCAGCAUUGGGGGCCAGGAGAUGUCGGGCAUGCUUUUAGAGCAGCACCUCGGCUCCCGUAGUGAAUCACUUGACGACAUAGAGGAUGCUGCAGUUGCUGAACCUCAGAGCCACCAGGCAGAGGUGGCAGCGGGUGGAGAUUCAACUCUUUCCGUGAGACGUGGAGGAGCGGCAGAAGAAGGGGAAGAUCCGUAUGCUAACAGAGGGGGACUUGCAGCGGUAGCUUCUGUCCAUCUGGCUGCUGAGCCCCCUUGCCUGGCAGAAAUCCAUGCCAAAUGUAGCCUAAAGGGAGAAGCCCCGGAUGGUGCUGGUGAAUUAUCAGAGAAUGCCAGUUCAGCUCUUGAGCCGGAUGGUGGCCUUGCGAGUGGCAGAUCUCCUUGCCAGCUAGGAGUGGGGAGGUUGCCAGUGCCCUUUGAAGCUGGAGGCAGAGGCGAAGAGCCCCCGGGGUGGGGAGGGCCAGCUGGCCUUCGGUCUGACAAAGAGGAAUGGACCCAGAAGACUGAAGGGCAGUGCCCGGCACACCUGUGCCCCGACGUUGAAACCGGGCGGCGUGACGGAAGCGAAGGCCAAUAUGAAGUGGGUUCGGAUUCCUCCUCUGUCGGGUUGAAUGAAGGGGAGGAGUUCUGGGACUGUCCUGGAGGCAUCUUGCAGAAGGAAGAGGAGCCGGAAGGCGUUUAUUCCAGGAAAAGGCCCCUGGAUGACAAGGUGGAGGUCAGGGUUUCAGACCGAGGAGAGGAUUCUGGUUCUCCAAAGAGGCCCUGCCUUCAGGAUCUGCAUCCGGGACGGGAGCUGCCAUUUGGCCUGUCUCCUCUGGCCAUGACCGCUCCUCUUCUAGAAGUUAGGAAGGGUGACCUGUUUGGCACAACAAAGGGGAGGUUUCCGGACCCGCUCAGCGACCGCGUCACUCUGCAUCUGGGCCGAAUGGAACAGCACAAGAGAGACAUGGUGGCAGAAAUGGUGAGAAAUUAUUUCGAGAAGACCUUUUGCUCCAGUGAACCAGGCAACGGAAGUGGAAAAGCAGCAAUGCUGGCACUUCCCGUUGAAGCGGGUGAGGGUUCAGAGAGCAGAUCUGCAGGUGUGCCGGAGACGAGGGGGGAAACACGCCAGGAGGAGCCCCCGUUCUCUGCUGAGGACCCGAGCAGCAGUACCUGGUUGCAGGCCUCUUCCUCGGAUGGGCAGCCUUUGUCUGCCGUUUCCCCAUCUGGCUGCCCUCCCCGAGAACACGGAGACGGCUCGGAAAGCCACAGUCCAGAAAGCAUUUGGGAGGCUUUCUUCUCCCAAGAGGAGCACUUCCAGACGAAGGUGUGUUCGGCCCUGGAAAGCUCCCCGCCAGGCUCUCCUAGCCGGUCCCUGAGUGUGGAGCGUGCGCCAGAGCCCAGCAGGGAGACCUUGGACGGUUUCUUCUCUGACACCUCCAACGGUUCUGGGGAGGCUGCUCACAGCGGAUCUGCCUGCAAACCAAGCGACGGGAAUUCUUCUGGAGGGGAGAGUGGCGGCCUCCCCGAAGGGGCUUCCGACCUCGCUGAGAUCAACACGCUGCCUGAAUCUUCCCGUGGAGCCUCGAGGACGCCCUCUGGUACCCCGGCAUCGUCUCCAGAAAGCCGCUGGUCUCUCACGGAGGAGGCACAGCCUGAGCCGGAUGGCUCCGUCACUCCAGGCGAGUGUGACGCCCUCCGUCUUCAGCGAGGGGACGGCAUGUUGGACGGGGCUGACGCCACUGAGGAAGCUGCCUGCAUUGAGGACUCUGAGCUGGGGGAGCCACCUUAUGUGAAUUCCAUUGCGGGAGAAAAGGAGCAGGAUGAGGCCAGCCGGAGCAGGAUGCAGAUGGAAGAGGCAGCUUCUGCCCAGAGGAAAGCCACGGACUCUCCUUGUCAAGGUAACGUUUAA